UUGGUGUCUUGACUAGAAAUGAAAUGUUUGAACAAGUAAAAAUGAAUGUUUAUUAUAAGUCUGUCAGACAACCAUAUAACCAUCCCAGAAUGGCUCAUCAGACCAUUGAUCACACGGUGAUGAUCUUGGCGUUCUCUUCACCGGCGAUGAGGAAGUCCCAUCUCCAGCGAGCGGCGGCGUCAUCCCUUUCUCUACAUUGACGACGAGGACCAGCGGUCCCUCCAAGCGGUGAUUAUAUUGGAAGAUCAAGUAUGUAAGCUGGCUUCAGUACCUCUGGGAUGAUAUAAAGAAAGGAGAGAUAGAAAUACCGGAUUUUGUGAAAAAUCAUGAUGAUAUUCUUGAGCAUAGACCACUCAUAGAUAUGGUAUUAAACCUGAUCCCUUUCACUUGACUGGGAUACCUGCAUCUACCCACUCAUUUGGAAAGUACGAGGAGAGAUGGGCGGGAAGGGAUUAUGUGUCGUAGUAUGUGUAUUGCCUCGUUUCCUGAGAUGAACCUUAACCUUUGUACAGAAUGACCGGUAUUUGUAUUUCUUAAGCUCAUCUUUGAGUUUCUUUGUUUUUGGUCGUGGAUCUAAACCUGGCUGUGUACGAAUAGAACUACAUGUUUUCUAUGCCACAAGAAAUGUAUUUCUGGAGAUUAAUCUACAGAAUAAUUCCUUGUUCAUAUGUUGAGAUACUUUUGAAUGAAUUGCUCCCCAUAUGGUAUUACUGGCUCUGGUUUGGCAGGACACGACUGACGUGUCUUCUUAAGAAAUAGGAGAUAUAUAACACUUUCAGAAUUUAAGAAAUAGAAGUACAAGUUUAUCUGAAUAGUCUGCUCUCUAGGUUGGAGCAUUGGCUCGGCACAAUAUAUGUUCAUAUACAUUUUUGUGUAAUAACUGUCAUAUUAUCUAAAAAAUUAAAUCAUUUGUUCAUGACA
This 921-nucleotide small RNA is filed under the name Vigna angularis var. angularis. RNAcentral's name for it is "Non-protein coding transcript". The record is from RNAcentral. Lineage: Eukaryota; Viridiplantae; Streptophyta; Magnoliopsida; Fabales; Fabaceae.